AGAGUUUGAUCAUGGCUCAGAACGAACGCUGGCGGCGCGUUUUAAGCAUGCAAGUCGGACGGUAGGCGAGUGGCAACACUUGCUGAGAGUGGCGAACGGGUGAGUAACACGUAGGCAAUCUAGCCCUGGGACGGGGACAGCUCAUGGAAACAUGGGGUAAUACCCGGUGAGGUUACUGGGACUGAGGUUCUGGUGAUGAGAGGCUUCAAUUGGAGCGCCUGGGGGUGAGCCUGCGGUCCAUUAGCUAGUUGGUGAGGUAAUGGCCCACCAAGGCAGUGAUGGAUAGCCGGCCUGAGAGGGUGUACGGCCACACUGGGACUGAGACACGGCCCAGACUCCUACGGGAGGCAGCAGCUAAGAAUCUUCCGCAAUGGGCGCAAGCCUGACGGAGCGACGCCGCGUGGACGAUGAAGGCCGUAAGGUUGUAAAGUCCUUUUCUCUGUGAGGAAUGAGUGGGGGAGUGGAAAGCCCUCAUGAUGACGGUAACGGAGGAAUAAGCACCGGCUAACUACGUGCCAGCAGCCGCGGUAAUACGUAGGGUGCGAGCGUUGUUCGGAGUUAUUGGGCGUAAAGGGCGUGUAGGCGGCCUGAGAAGUCUGGUUUGAAAUGCACUGGCUCAACUGGUGCGCUGGGUCGGAAACUGGCAGGCUAGAGUUCAUGGGGAGGAGCUGGAAUUCCAGGUGUAGGGGUGAAAUCUGUAGAGAUCUGGAAGAACACCGGUAGCGAAGGCGGGCUCCUAUGGAUGGACUGACGCUGAGGCGCGAAAGCGUGGGGAGCAAACAGGAUUAGAUACCCUAGUAGUCC
Molecule: ribosomal RNA, 804 nt
Filed under: uncultured bacterium
Lineage: Bacteria
Description: bacterial SSU rRNA
Rfam family: Bacterial small subunit ribosomal RNA
Source: RNAcentral